This 346-nucleotide long non-coding RNA is filed under the name Malus domestica (apple). Its description in RNAcentral is "long non-coding RNA (MDOM_LNC015563)". The record is from RNAcentral. Lineage: Eukaryota; Viridiplantae; Streptophyta; Magnoliopsida; Rosales; Rosaceae.
GGGACACCGCUGUCCCCUCCGUCAGCUCCAUUUCCGGCCGCUACAGCACCAUCUACGACUUCUAUGGCUUCCCCAGAUCCAUGUACCAGAUCAAGUACCCCGCCCCCGGCUCCCCCCACCUCGCCAACCGCGUCAAGCAGCUGCUGACCUCGUCGGGCUUUGGCCGCGUCGACGUGGACACCCAGCGGGGGCUCGACCACGGCUCCUGGGUCCCGCUCAUGUUGAUGUACCCGGAGGCAGACAUCCCAGUUUGCCAGCUGUCGGUCCAGUCGGGGAGGGACGCCACUUAUCACUACAACAUGGGGAAGGCGCUGGCCCCACUGAAGGACGAGGGUGUUCUUAUAGU